Aricia agestis (brown argus) is the source of this 2474-nucleotide long non-coding RNA. RefSeq lists it as uncharacterized. Lineage: Eukaryota; Metazoa; Arthropoda; Insecta; Lepidoptera; Lycaenidae. The transcript has 2 exons. The record is from RefSeq and is a predicted model, not a curated record.
AUGUCGGUGGUAAAAGAACUUAAGUUGUCAUAUGUACUUUUAUUACGCCGAAAACCAUAUUGAGAUGAAGAAAGCAGGCAGUUACUUUCAACGAACCACUCCAGGCGGUUUUUGACUAAAUGUUCAAUUAUUUUUAGAAGAACAGACGAGAGGGCUAUUGGACGAUAUGAAGAUGAGAGGGAAGGAUCUUUGUUUGGUUUCAAAAUGGGUAACACUAGUUGACAUUUCCACUCUGAUGGAAUAUUGCCAGAUUCAAAAAUUGAGUUAAUGAUUCUAAGAUAAACUGAUAAACUGUUUUCGUUUAGAUGAGAAAUAAAUGAAUAAUAAAUACCAUCAGGCCCAGGAGAGGAAUCCGAUACAUACGAAAGUACAUUUUUUAAUUCGGCCAUGGUAAAGGAGGAAUUUAAUUCUGAAGACUCUUCAUUUUCAUCUAUUGUACUAUUGUUAUGAAAUAGGUUAGGAAGAUUGACUGUAGGAGGAGCAAGCUUGUCAAGAAAAUCAUUUGCAAUAGAACUAGGAAGAGAAACAGAAUGAGAAGUAUUGUAUGCAGAUUUGAACCUCCUAAUAUUUUGCCAAACAACAGUUGGAGGAGAAUUCGGGGACAGAGAGGAGCAAAAUUUUUGCCAACUUUCAGAUUUUUUCUUUUUGAAAACCUUCUUUCUCCUUUUUACAGCUUCCGUACACUCUUUAUCCCACCACGGUGGGCUGGGAAUGGAAGAUGAUUCAUUUUUUAUUGGAAAAACUUCAUUAGCACUUUCUAUCAAGACAUCUGUAAAAACGAGAGCAUCAAUAGAGUCAUCUUCAUUUGGAAAUAUCUGUGACAGUUUUACAUCAACUUUACUACUGAAUUUCUUCCAACAUUUAUCGGUGACAUUAUUAAGGUUAUACCUGGGAAAUAAUCUGACAUUUUGAAUAGGAGCCUGAGAAUUAUCAAAAGGAGAGGUAGUUAAUAUGGGGAAGUGAUCGCUUCCAAAAGUGGAUGAUAGAACCGAAGAUGUUAAUUGUGUUACAAACUGUGAGGAGCAAAUAGUCAAAUCAACAACGCUUUUGCCUUCUGUUGGACUAGUGCGCCUUGUGGGCUCACCAGAAUUUAUAACACAUAGAUUAUUCAGAUCUAAAACACUUAGCAGCUUGUUACCAUAACUAUUAGUAAUGGAGCUUCCCCAUGACUGGUGAUGACAAUUAAAGUCACCUGUUAUAAUUAAAGGUCUUGGUAAAGAGCUUAAAAUGUUAUUAAAUUCAUUUAAAAUAUUAAUAGAGGCAUGGGAAAUAUAUACAGAGACAAAACAUAUAUUAUUUACACUAAUUGCUAUAAUAGAUAGCUCUGAACUAUGUACAGGGAUAUCAAUAAGGCUAAAAGGGUAGUUUUUCUCAAGGAGAAAGGCUACACCACCAUAGCCGUCUAACCUAUCUUCUCUAAUUGUAUUAUAAUUCUUAAAUCUAAAAGUAUUACUUGGCCUAAGCCAAGUUUCUGAGAAAGAAAAUAAAAAAGGAUUAUAAUUUCUUAAUAAAUAAGCUAUGUCACUUUUUUUAUUAACUACACUUCGAGCGUUCCACUGAAUGAUCUGGGCCAUAUUGUAGAAUAUUAAUUAUACAUUGAAUUAAAGGGGCAACGAUGGACGGUAUAUUAUCGUUCUGUGAGUGGGUUUGUAAUAAUGAUAUUACAUCUGUAAGUGAAGAAAGUUCAUUCUUGUAAUUGUUUAUUAUACCUUUAUUGUAUUCAUGUACUGGUGUUGUGUUUUUUUCUAAAUUAUCAAAAGAAAACUCUUUUACCACAUUGUUAUGGGCAAUUUUAUCAUAACCUUUCAUUGGUCUAUAAGGAGCACGAGGCUUAGCAACUACAGUUUUUUUGUAUGAUCUAUUAUCAGAUGAACUAUUAUUAUUAUUAGUAGAUAAAUUAAAUUUAGGAGUGGAUAGUGUAUCUGAAUAAGAUUUAUAUGAGGAAGGAAUUUCUUUAUUGGCCUCUGCAUAAGAGACACAAUGUUCAGCCAUGUGUAUUUUUAUAGAUUUUUGCCUAUUAAACUCUGGGCAUAUUUUGUUAUUAGCCAUAUGAUGGCCAGAACAUAAGCAACAGAAAUAUUCAUGCUCAUUAACACUACAAGAAUCCAUAUCAUGUUCCUGACCACACUUGAUACACCGUGAUUUUGACCUACACUGAGCUUUGGUAUGUCCAUACCGACAACAUUUGAAGCAUUGUAUAGUGGGAAAGAUGUAGAGCUCAACUGGUAGUGAAUUAUAACAAAUAAAAACUCUUUUUGGCAGAACCCUACCAUCAAAGUAUACAACAACUGACUGAGUCGGUUUCCAUACAGGAGAACCCUCCACCAUUGUUUUAUAAUUUAAGCGUCUGACCUUCACAACUUUACCACUACCGGUAGGUGUAGAAAUGUUAUUUAUUAUUUCCUCAGGUGACCAUUCAACUGGUAUACCCCUCACAAUACCUAUUCUAACGACAUUAAAAGAUGGUAUAAAAG